UAGUCGUGUGUACAUGUGUAUAUUAUAUGAUAAUACUGAGGGUUAUCGAUUACAGUGUAUUGUAUGUAUAAGUACAGAGGGGUGCCGAUUACAGGUUGUUGUGAUCAGAAGCAAGAUCAUUGGAUAGUCGAUGUUUAUCUUCGUUUCACUGACCAAUCAGAGGGUAGCUUACAAGCAGUAGUGAGAACAUGUGCUAGUCAAUUCGGGGCAGUCGCCAUUUUUCCCACAAGGAGUGAGGUGCUAGCGAACAUGAUGGGCUAGAGCGAGGUUAGGAAGACUCCCCGGGGUCCAAGGUGGGGGUGGACUAGGGACCAUGCGGCAGGCAGCCGUGUGGCUAGUCACGUGACCUGAGACAUGUAAACAGUAAACAAAAACACGUGGCGGCUGAAGUUAUGAAGGGCCGCAGUGUGUAGUACUGGUUCUACGAUGAACUUUCACAACUAUAUUAUUGGUACAACUAUAUUAUUGGUACAACUCUAUUACUGGUACAACCAUAUGAUUGGACUACGACUGGUAUGAAGCUCUCAGUGGUGGUGGAUGUCCGAUGUUCCCCUACAGUUCGUCGUGGCCUUAUGAUGUCCGAUCUCUUUUACACCGAGGCGACUCCAGCAGUUCAUGGUGAAAGGAGAUGUAAUUCUGUGCGCCGGAGAGACAGUUGUUUGCGGAGGGACGUGUACUCAUGCAUUGUGCAGUGGACAUACUGCUUGCACUCUAUUACUAACAUACUGUAUAACUACAGUGAGGUGUGAACAGUCAAGGGGGUUAAUUAACACCAUUAGGACAGUAGGUUUAAUUACAAAGGUCUCUCAGUGAGAGUGUAUUUACGGAUGAUUUUGAGUAUCAUUUAUUUGGUUAUUAUGUAGCCUGUUAUGGGUAUCCGGUUAUUCUGACAUGUUGUAAGCUGGAUAAGAUUAUCUACAUGUAGUAAAUAUGUGAUAUUUACAUAUAGGCAGGAUAUCAAAGGAGCUCCUUGGUCAGAUAGGGACAGAUUAGUAAUACUUGUAACACUUGAAUUAUUUUUAUUAUUUGUUAUUUUAUUAAAUGUUAUCAAUUUA
Mizuhopecten yessoensis (Yesso scallop) is the source of this 1055-nucleotide long non-coding RNA. RefSeq lists it as uncharacterized. Lineage: Eukaryota; Metazoa; Mollusca; Bivalvia; Pectinida; Pectinidae. The record is from RefSeq and is a predicted model, not a curated record. The transcript is spliced from 2 exons.